This 382-nucleotide ribosomal RNA is filed under the name Streptococcus pneumoniae. RNAcentral describes it as "partial 23S ribosomal RNA". It matches the Rfam family "Bacterial large subunit ribosomal RNA", at positions 963 to 1336 of the family's 2925-position model. Lineage: Bacteria; Bacillati; Bacillota; Bacilli; Lactobacillales; Streptococcaceae. The record is from RNAcentral.
CCUGAGAGUACUAUCCGGGAGUCACACGGCGGGUGCUAACGUCCGUCGUGGAGAGGGAAACAACCCGGACCUACAGCUAAGGCCCCUAAUUCGUGGCUAAGUGGGAAAGGAUGUGGAAAUCCCAAAACAACCAGGAGGUUGGCUUAGAAGCAGCCAUCCUUUAAAGAAAGCGUAACAGCUCACUGGUCUAAAUAAGGGUUUCUGCGCCGAAGAUGUAACGGGGCUCAAGCCACGAGCCGAAGCUUAGGGUGUGAUCCGCAAGGGUCACGCGGUAGCGGAGCGUUCUGUAAGCCUGCGAAGGGCGACUCGUGAGAGCGCCUGGAGGUAUCAGAAGUGCGAAUGCUGGCAUGAGUAACGACAAACACUGUGAAAGACAGUGUCG